RNAcentral lists this ribosomal RNA (499 nucleotides) under uncultured Glomeromycotina. Its description in RNAcentral is "partial small subunit ribosomal RNA". It matches the Rfam family "Eukaryotic small subunit ribosomal RNA", at positions 591 to 1092 of the family's 1831-position model. Lineage: Eukaryota; Fungi; Glomeromycota. The record is from RNAcentral.
CCAAUAGCGUAUAUUAACGUUGCUGCAGUUAAAAAGCUCGUAGUUGAAUUUCGGGACCAAUAUGUCGGUCGUGCCUCGGUACGUACUGGCAUCGUUGGUUUCUCCCUUCUGAAGAACCAUGAUGUCAUUCAUUUGGUGUCGUGGGGAAUCAGGACUGUUACUUUGAAAAAAUUAGAGUGUUUAAAGCAGGCUCACGCUUGAAUACAUUAGCAUGGAAUAAUGAAAUAGGACGUUUGAUUCUAUUUUGUUGGUUUCUAGGAUCGACGUAAUGAUUAAUAGGGAUAGUUGGGGGCAUUAGUAUUCAAUUGUCAGAGGUGAAAUUCUUGGAUUUAUUGAAGACUAACUACUGCGAAAGCAUUUGCCAAGGAUGUUUUCAUUAAUCAAGAACGAAAGUUAGGGGAUCGAAGACGAUCAGAUACCGUCGUAGUCUUAACCAUAAACUAUGCCGACUAGGGAUCGGAUGAUGUUAAUUUUUUAAUGACUCAUUCGGCGCCUUACG